AGCAGCAGCUCCAGCCAUGUCACCACUGAAGCUGCUGCUGAAAGCUGGGAAGCUGAUGUGAUAAGAAUGGGAUUGCUGAUCAGUAGUACUGCAGGUCUUGCAUGGUGACAGGCAGCUGGGGACCUGAACAAGUUGUCUAUGCUGUUUUAGGUGCUCUGUGGUACCUGAGACAUAGCACAGAUCAUACAUGUGAGAGAACAAACCAUGCUACUCUGAAAGAGCUGGAUACCAGGUAGGAUACUUGGGUACUCUAUUGCCACUUCAGACACUGAUAUUCAAAUACUUCAACGCCAGGCAUCUUCUUUUCUCUUUCUAGCAUGUAAUUGUUUUGAUUGAUCUUUCUUUUUUGGUGAUAUUUGCUGUUUUGUAUUUUCCCUAGAGCAGGCUCCUUGAAUCUCAAGACAUUUGCUCAUCCUUAU
Molecule: long non-coding RNA, 419 nt
Filed under: Numida meleagris (helmeted guineafowl)
Lineage: Eukaryota; Metazoa; Chordata; Aves; Galliformes; Numididae
Description: lncRNA (ENSNMEG00000022057.1)
Source: RNAcentral